RNAcentral lists this ribosomal RNA (466 nucleotides) under uncultured bacterium. RNAcentral describes it as "partial 16S ribosomal RNA". It matches the Rfam family "Bacterial small subunit ribosomal RNA", at positions 28 to 507 of the family's 1533-position model. The record is from RNAcentral.
GACGAACGCUGGCGGCGUGCUUAACACAUGCAAGUCGAACGGAAAGGCCUCUUUCGGGGGGUACUCGAGUGGCGAACGGGUGAGUAACACGUGAGCAACCUGCCCUUGACUUUGGGAUAACUUCAGGAAACUGGGGCUAAUACCGGAUAGGAGCUCCUGCUGCAUGGUGGGGGUUGGAAAGUUUCGGCGGUUGGGGAUGGACUCGCGGCUUAUCAGCUUGUUGGUGGGGUAGUGGCUUACCAAGGCUUUGACGGGUAGCCGGCCUGAGAGGGUGACCGGCCACAUUGGGACUGAGAUACGGCCCAGACUCCUACGGGAGGCAGCAGUGGGGAAUAUUGCACAAUGGGCGGAAGCCUGAUGCAGCAACACCGCGUGCGGGAUGACGGCCUUCGGGUUGUAAACCGCUUUCGCCUGUGACGAAGCGUGAGUGACGGUAAUGGGUAAAGAAGCACCGGCUAACUACGUG